Molecule: ribosomal RNA, 39 nt
Filed under: Parmotrema tinctorum
Lineage: Eukaryota; Fungi; Ascomycota; Lecanoromycetes; Lecanorales; Parmeliaceae
Description: partial 28S ribosomal RNA
Source: RNAcentral
UUUGACCUCGGAUCAGGUAGGGAUACCCGCCUGAACUAA